AAUUUGGUGAUUUACAAUAACUUAGCAAAUCGUAUAGUGAAAACUGGCGAUAAAUCAUUCAAGUUUCUGACCUAUCAGCUUUCGACGGUAUGGUAUUGGCUUACCGUGGCAGUGACGGUUAACGGGGGAUUAGGGUUCGAUUCCGGAGAGGGAGCCUGAGAAACGGCUACCACAUCUAAGGAAGGCAGCAGGCGCGCAAAUUACCCAAUUCUAACAGCAUAAGAGAGGUAGUGACAAGAAAUAACAAUACAAGGCAGUUAAAAUGCUUUGUAAUUGGAAUGAUAGAAAUUUAAACACUUUUUAAAGUAUCAAUUGGAGGGCAAGUCUGGUGCCAGCAGCCGCGGUAAUUCCAGCUCCAAUAGCGUAUAUUAAAAUUGUUGCAGUUAAAAAGCUCGUAGUUGAAUUUCUGUUAAAAAUAACCGGUCUGCUUUUAAUAAAAGUGGUAUCUUGGUGUGUUUUUAGCAAUAAUGUCCUUUGAAAUGUUUUUUACUU
This 492-nucleotide ribosomal RNA is filed under the name Hepatozoon felis. Its description in RNAcentral is "bacterial SSU rRNA". It matches the Rfam family "Eukaryotic small subunit ribosomal RNA", at positions 240 to 727 of the family's 1831-position model. The record is from RNAcentral. Lineage: Eukaryota; Apicomplexa; Hepatozoidae.